This 23-nucleotide non-coding RNA is filed under the name Cricetulus griseus (Chinese hamster). The record is from RNAcentral. Lineage: Eukaryota; Metazoa; Chordata; Mammalia; Rodentia; Cricetidae.
AGAGGCCUGGGAGGAGAUGAGUU